This 291-nucleotide ribosomal RNA is filed under the name Bathylagus euryops (goiter blacksmelt). Its description in RNAcentral is "partial 28S ribosomal RNA". It matches the Rfam family "Eukaryotic large subunit ribosomal RNA", at positions 75 to 353 of the family's 3401-position model. Lineage: Eukaryota; Metazoa; Chordata; Actinopteri; Argentiniformes; Bathylagidae. The record is from RNAcentral.
UUCCCCUNGUAGCUGCGAGCGAAGAGGGAUGAGCCCAGCGCCGAAUCCCCGUCUGUCCGGCGGACGUGGGACAUGUGGCGUAUAGAAGACAGCUUUGCCCAGUGUCGAUCGGGGGCCUGAGUCCUUCUGAUCGAGGCUCUGCCCGUGGACGGUGUGAGGCCGGUAACGGNCCUCGUCGCGCUGGGGUCCGGUCUUCUCGGAGUCGGGUUGCUUGUGAAUGCAGCCNAAAGCGGGUGGUAAACUCCAUCUAAGGCUAAAUACCGGCACGAGACCGAUAGUCAACAAGUACCG